UUGAGUACAAAAUUCUAAGUUUUCAAAGGUUUUGUAUAGAAGAACUAUACAAAUCCUUGGUAUUUCUAUUUUCUUUUCUACAUCAGUAAAAUGACCCCUUGUCCAUGUUGUCUGAGGGAGGGCUGUUCUCAACCUGAUAAUAACAAACACAGGUCAAAGUACGGCCUUUUACACACGGCUUUGAUACAGACCAAACAGCAGGCUAUAAAGGACCCAAAAUUAUUAGCGUACACAAUUCGAACAGGAAAACCAUCGAUCUAAUUUAUAUAUCAUGUAUAUCCAAACGGGAAAAUACCAAUGAACAACAUCAACAAACGAUAACUGCUGAACGACAAGCCCCUCAAUCAACCAGGACAGGUGCAUAAACAUGCAAAGGCUAUGGAUAGUUUUGUUUCGCCAGCAUACAAUAUAAUUGCAGUUGAAGGCAAAUUCUUCAGAAGUUCUUUGUACUUUAUUCUAACAACGAACAUUUUUGAUAGGGAAUAUAAGUAAGGGGGAAAGUAACCAAUUUUUUGUUC
This 518-nucleotide long non-coding RNA is filed under the name Mytilus galloprovincialis (Mediterranean mussel). Lineage: Eukaryota; Metazoa; Mollusca; Bivalvia; Mytilida; Mytilidae. The record is from RNAcentral.